This 277-nucleotide unclassified non-coding RNA is filed under the name uncultured Cortinarius. Its description in RNAcentral is "sequence contains ITS2". The stretch from base 1 to 52 matches the Rfam family "5.8S ribosomal RNA", at positions 103 to 154 of the family's 154-position model. The record is from RNAcentral. Lineage: Eukaryota; Fungi; Basidiomycota; Agaricomycetes; Agaricales; Cortinariaceae.
AACGCACCUUGCGCUUCUUGGUAUUCCGAGGAGCAUGCCUGUUUGAGUGUCAUUAAUAUAUCAAUCUUCUCUUGUUUGAGUGGUUUGGAUGUGGGGGGUUUGCUGGCCUCUGAAAAGGGAUUCAGCUCCUCUGAAAAGCAUUAGCAGAGUGACUCUGUUCAUUAGUGUGAUAACUAUCUAUGCUAUUGAAUGGGUGUGGUUCAGCUUUCUAACUGUCCUUGGACAAAUUUAUCAUUUAUGUGACCUCAAAUCAGGUAGGACUACCCGCUGAACUUAA